This 1541-nucleotide long non-coding RNA is filed under the name Anas platyrhynchos platyrhynchos (common mallard). RNAcentral's name for it is "lncRNA (ENSAPLG00000027149.1)". Lineage: Eukaryota; Metazoa; Chordata; Aves; Anseriformes; Anatidae. The record is from RNAcentral.
CACUUUCUGUAGGCUGCAUUUUUUUUCCUUCUGUGUAAAGCAGUGUGAUUCACGGGAUAUGGCUUUGUAGCUCCUGCUUAGUGACCUCUCCUGGUUCCUCACCUCGUGUUCUUCACUGGUCAGAGCCAUUGGUGUUUAGAUGCUCAGCAGAGGUGAUUGCACAGCCUUUGACACCUCACAUCCCCUGCUGCCUAGAUUUGAAAGAGUAAAGCAACUUCUGGAUUGCUUCAAAUGCACUGGCAACAUAAAUAGCAACAGUUUUCCAGAUGAAGAAAUCUAUGUGGGAUAUGUUAAAUGACAUUUCUCUGAGUGCUCUGAUUCAGUGGGUCUCCAGCAUCAGAAAACUGAUCAGAAACUUCAGGACUGAGCUAAUGCCUCCAAAAUUAGUGGGCCUUAUUUUGAGGGUGGCCCUGGUCACAAUGUGUGCCCUGUGAAGACCAGCAGGCUGAGGAGCACUGGGCUGUAGCCCAUGUUUACUUAUCUGAGUUUCAUUGCUUCAGCCAGCCCCAUGACAAAAACAGGUCUGCCAAGCGCUGGCCUGAAUGCCUGGGGAUUUCUGCACUCCAGUUUUAUGGACUCCUGGCUACACACAGGCUGUGACCAAGACUUCCACAGCAGUGCCAUCCAGCGAAGGGACCGCAGUGACUCCCGUCUUAUGUACUCGCCUCCCUGUGUAUAUCCUGGUUGCCACUUCUGUGGUGUUUUGGGCAGCUCACAAUCCCUCCAUAGGGAUGUAUGUCUCCAUAGGGAUGAAUGUCUCACCCCCGUCUUGUGUCACAGAAAAGAAAGUGUGGACUCUGGUGCUUCUGGCAUCUCAGUGUUAAUAUCAUUACUCUGUUAAUUGUAUGGGGCUGACAAUUAGCUGUGUCCCUGUUGCAAACCCAGCAGGAAGGUCCUGAGUCAGGGCUCAAGGGGGUAAAAAGAAACUCAAUGGUUUUCUUCAUUUUAGUCUUAAUCGAAACUGAGUUGAAACUGGACUUGAGGUGGCUGAGUUUGUUUAUUUGUGUUGAAUGUUUCCCUCAGUCUGAGGACUCGCAUGUGCUGGUGACAUCUGGGGUUUUUCGGCUCAGUGGGAGCGAGCCUUACCCUGAAGUCACUCCCUGGAGGGUGACACAGCUUAGUUGUCCUCAGUAGGGACAUCACUGCAUGAACUUGGCAUGCCUGAAUUGGUGGGACUCGUGUUGCAUGCUGUACCUGCCGCUUUUUAAUAUAAACAGAAUAAGAGCAAAGCCCAGGGAUAACUGUUGUUGUAUGUCAGUGUCAGCCAGUACUUAGGCUUUAAGAUCAUGAGGCCUAUGCAGAUCUGAAAUACCAACAAUCAUUUUUGGGGGAGAAGUGGUAACGCUUUAAUAUCUGUUCCUCCAAAUAGCUGGAAUUGAUUACAAGCCUAGCUGAAGGUGGUGUCCUUGUAUUGGACAGUUUACAGUUCAGGCUCUUUCCUUAUUUAUUCCUAUAGAAAGGCAGCUAUGUUUGCUCAUUUCCCCCUUUUCUGAACAUUAAGUAGAAAGGGUUAGAAACUUUUUUAGUGAAAAGUGUAGGCA